RNAcentral lists this long non-coding RNA (1241 nucleotides) under Gossypium barbadense (sea-island cotton). RNAcentral describes it as "long non-coding RNA (GBAR_LNC015308)". Lineage: Eukaryota; Viridiplantae; Streptophyta; Magnoliopsida; Malvales; Malvaceae. The record is from RNAcentral.
UGAAAUAAAAGCAAACAGAGAACAAACAAAAGAAAAUUAAAAGCCUACCAAAAUCAAUUGGUGAGAAAGCAAACUAAACGCUAGAUGAACCAAGGAAAAACCCACAGCCUCUCCCUACUGAAAAUCACAACACUAAAGCCAGGAAAAUCUCCUAAUUUGGAUUAUAUGACAUUGAGCGAACACCAAAGGAGAAAAACAUAAUGCUAAGCAGGAUAAAAUCGAUAAACUCCUGCUUCCAAAAGCCAACCCGAGGACAGAUUAAUCCGGCGGAUCCACCCAUCAUAUGUUGGCAGCAACAACAACUUCGACCUCCACCAGAAUCUCCUCCACACAGAAAUGAUACAUCCCCAAAUUAAAACAUACGACAGCAAGAAGGUGAGAAACCAUGUUCUCUUCUCUAUAACCGUGUUUGACAAUAAAAUAUGAGAAAAAAAAUCGUUAAUUUAUGCUUACCUUCUUUUAUGAGAGCCGCGAUUUCAGACCGGUCCUCAUGCGUGGAGCAAAUAUUCUUGAUUACAAUCAAAGUGUUGCCCUCAAACACCACGUACCUUAAGCCCAGAUCAUCGGCAAAAGAAACUGUUUGGAUAAACGCCUUUACUUCCGCAACAAAAGCAUUAGGUACGUAAUGAUGGAGUUGUUUACUUGCCCCUAAAAUUAGGCCAUUUCGAUUUGUCACCACAACUCCUGAGCAAGACUGCCAGGAAUGAACCCUGUAGGUUGCAUCGAAAUUAACCUUAACAUACGGUUCUGCCGGCGGACGCCAUUUCCUUUCGUGAUGUCCAACACUAAGACUACAAGUUUCACCCAAAACUUGAACUUCUCUGUAAUAGGAAUAGAUCAGAGCCACCAAAGCUGAGGUCGUUUGAACAACCCCUUCAUGAUACCCUUUGUUCUACGACAACUAUAAAGCCUGGAUCGCAAUUAGAAUGAGAUUAACAAUAAUCGUAGAAUGUUUGUUGAACAGAAAUGAUAACCAAUCAAUAACAUCAGUAUUGUUGUGUAUCGCAGGCCAAGAAAUAUUUAGAGAUUGCCACACCGCAGCUACCAUUAUACAAUCGCGAACUACAUGGGUAAUAGUUUCUAGAAUUAUACUGCAUUUAGGACAAAACAUAGUAAAAGAAAUCCUUUUGUUGAAGAGAUUAGAAAGUAGGAAUAUAGUUUUGACAGAAUCUCCAGUUUGUAAUACGGAUUUUAAGAGGCAUUGUUGCUUUCCACAAUUUUGUAUAGAAACAUUAUUUGGG